UGUUUGUUUGUUUGUUUGUUGUUUCACUCUGAAUGGAAGUGAGAAAUCACAUGACGUUAAUCAUCUCACUAGAUGGAGCCUUGUGUAACGGCUGGAGCAACAGGUCAGCGUGUAUGUCACGGACACUAACUGACUGACUCUAUGGUGCAUCUGGGAGUCCUGGAGACCGAAAACGACUGACUCCAGGAAACCCUCAUUGUUGAGGCUCUGUGUGUCCUUCCAGGGCAGGGACUCUCUCUGUGGUCUCCUUGGUGGAUACAGACACUAUCCUAAGAAGAGAAGUCAUCACACAUGAAACAAGUCUGAGAACGAACACCUAAGUGUGUGACAAGGAGAACUCUAAGCCAGACGCUCUGCUCAGGACCUGUCUGGGGGGUCUUUGGCUCCUCACAGCCUUGCCUGGAGUUUCUGCCCUCUGUGAAGGGGUCCUUCCUGCUCCUCACCCUGUGACUUCUGAGGCUCAAGCCAGCAUACUCGCUGCCACUUACACACAGAUCUCUGCCUUCAGUCAGCCAGCCAGCCUGUGAUAAACGACACCAUGGCCUAUGUGUUAAACUUGGUGUGACUCUGGAGUGCUGGUGUCAAGGAUACACCCUGCAGGCUCUGCAGUCGUGAUUCAGCAAGGAGGGGCAAGGCACCGGAUGUGCCUGGAAAGGGAAGCCUGAAGCUGGAGGAAGCAGCACCUGGAGGACUGGCGCUGUGGUGGGCACUGCAGAGCCACCGUUUUCUGUUAUGAUCUGGAAGCUCAGCCGUUUUCUCCUCGGUACCUCAGCACCUCUGCCCUCUCUUAGGACCACUGUCCCCCCAGUCCCUUCUCUCACCAUGCCAUCCUGUCCCCAGAGAUCCACUAGGAAUGUGGGGUGUCUGCUACCUGCUUUGUCCCUAUCGGUCAAGAAAGUCUUGGGCCCUAGGCUUCGGUUCCAUCCUGGCAGCUUACUGGCUGGGCUGUGAGUGUGGGCAGAUGCGCUUCUGGAACCUUCUUGUCUUAUCGUCCUCAAAGGACGGACAGUCAAGCUCUGCCUGUUCAGGCUUUGGAGGAGCUGCUGAGGCAGCAUGCGAGUGCUCCUGUUAUCAUAACACAUUUUCUCUCACAAUUACUAAAAA
Mus musculus (house mouse) is the source of this 1104-nucleotide long non-coding RNA. RefSeq annotates it as predicted gene, 31239. The record is from RefSeq and is a predicted model, not a curated record. The transcript is spliced from 4 exons. NCBI's taxonomy places the organism in Eukaryota, Metazoa, Chordata, Mammalia, Rodentia, Muridae.